AGAUACAGGGGUACCUCGGGUUAAGCACUUAAUUCGUUCCAGAGGUCUGUUCUUAACCUGAAACUGUUCUUAACCUGAAGCACCACUUUAGCUAAUGGGGCCUCCUCCUGCUGCCGCGCUGCCGAAGCACGAUUUCUGUUCUCAUCCUGAAGCAAAGUUCUUAACCUGAAGCACUAUUUCUGGGUUAGCGGAGUCUGUAACCUGAAAGCGUAUGUAACCUGAGAUACCACUGUAAAUCCAAGGCCAACCUACCAUGUGCUAAAUGACGGAUGGGCAGAAGGUAGAUUGGGAUCUACUGGUAGCUCUCUGGCUGAUUUGCAAUAGGAUGUUUAAGGUUCUAACAUGGAGAAAAGCAGUUGUUCCAAAUAAUAGCCCAAUCCUAUAUGGAUUUAGGUAUACCUGAUUCCAUUGAAAUUAAUAGGUUUACAGUGCAAUCCUGCGUCUCAUAUAUCCUAUAUCCAUAAGUAUAUACAAAAAUGCAGCUUUAAGUGCUGGUAACAUUGCAGAGAAAUAGGAAAUAAGAAUAUAGUAUAUACCUAUGGCUGUUCCUUUUCAAAAUAUGAAUACACUUUUGCAUAGAAUACUGCUUUGCAUUCAGAACUUCACAAGUGCUCUUCCAAGAACCAUACAAAUUAAAAUUAGGACCCAUUUGUUUUUCUGGACAUUUCAAACAUCAUAGUAUUGGUGUUGCCAUUGUAAGAUAGUGCUCAACGUGGCUGACAGUACAUAAAUGAAGAACAAAAUCCUUCAGCAAUAAACACCAAUACAUAUCAAUAAUGCAAUCACAAUAUUAACCAUUUGGUUAAUAAGCUACAUUGUGAGUCAGCCAAACCUGACCAUCGCCAUCAAAUUAAACUGUUGUGUCCAUAUUUGCAACCUUUUUUUCUUUUUUGUAAUUUAGUGUUUUAUUGAUUUUUCAGAGUCAAUAAUACAGAAACAUUAAAUAAAGCUCUCUCUCUACAAAUAAAUAACAAUUACAUUCACCGUCUCCGGUGCCUCACUUUUAUUUUCAUUCACAGCAUCAAAUUAAAUAUAUAGAAAGCAAUUUCCUCUGAGAUAAUUAAUACAAAAAUAUAGUAAGACCCGUUGAACUCUCUUGCUGCUCAACAAAAAUCCACAGCAUUUCACUGUAUGUUAUUCUGUCUAAGAUUGCAGUCCUAACCCCACUUAUGUGGGUGUAAACCCCAUUGAAUUAAAUAUGACUUACCUCUGAGUAGACAUGGUUAGGUUUGUAAUCCUUAUAAACAAAAUUACAGCUGCUAUCUGAACCACUUCUCUCUCCCUACUGUUACAGAGUUCAGUGGGACCUAUUCUCAAGUAAGUGCACAUAGAACGAGACAGCAAUCCAUGACAUAGAUUUAAUUGAACUGGACUUUUAAGUAGCUAUAAGUAUUAUUUGUUCCAGGUUUGUUUGACUAGAAUUAACUUCCUGAGAGAGGUUAGAUAUUAUUUUUAAUGCAUGAAAUAUUUAUUGCACGCUUGUAUGAUAACCAGUAUACUAAUUUGGGUCUAUGUAUGUAGCAAACCUAUGGGCCAGGGAUUAUAUCACUUCAUUCUGUACUUCCUUUAGUAGAGAUGAGCUAAAGUUUGGAAUCAGAAUCUGCCAUCAACAUCUGACUUUUGGUUAAAUGACUGAGGGAAGUUAAUACAACAUUUUUCAUUUCUGUAGAAACCAUCAGACGCUGUCAAAUGUAAACUGCUAUUGCAUGCAACCUGUCAGAUGUUGAAUACUAUAUGUCAGAUACAGAAUUAUCAUCAUUAUUGUAUUUUCUACGUUUAUGUAUAAAAAUAGCAUAUUACAACAAACCAAUUUAAAAUACUACCCCUAAAAUGCAAACUAAACUAAUAGAAUAGAUACAGCAGUUAAAAAC
Podarcis muralis (Common wall lizard) is the source of this 1871-nucleotide long non-coding RNA. Lineage: Eukaryota; Metazoa; Chordata; Lepidosauria; Squamata; Lacertidae. The record is from Ensembl.